Molecule: ribosomal RNA, 120 nt
Filed under: uncultured bacterium
Lineage: Bacteria
Description: partial 16S ribosomal RNA
Rfam family: Bacterial small subunit ribosomal RNA
Source: RNAcentral
GCGCUUGAGGAGGGGUCCGCGGCUGAUUAGCUAGUUGGUGGGGUAAAAGCCUACCAAGGCAAAGAUCAGUAGCCGGCCUGAGAGGGCACACGGCCACACUGGCACUGAGACACGGGCCAG